UUAGGAAAAAUAUAUUCAGGGGGAAGAGAUGUAAUAGAUUUCACAUUAUGGCAGUUACUAAAGAAGCACGUGAACAGACACAUCACCUUCACUUUGGGAUAUGGAAUUUGAUAAGCAGUUAGCCACAGAAUAUGAACAACCCCUUGAGAAUGAGAUUGAAGAACUGAUCCAGGGGACAAAAGAGGGGAAACUGAGAGUUCCCAAUUAAUAAUGAAGCAGGUAAGUGUUAAUUCCAGGGGUUAUAAAAUUCAUUGAUUGAGAUUAUUUCUGCCAGAUAUUCACUUUUAGAGUGUAGAUACUUACAUGAAUUUCAAAACACUGUGUAGAUAUCUUCGCGGUGUCCUAAAGACAGUUAGUUGCAGCAGAGUCCAUGCAAUAUAAUAGAAUUUUAUGAAAUUCAAAAACCAAAUUUUGAAUAUACUUUCUUAGCUCUAACGGCGAUAAAACUAUAAAGAAAAUGAUCAACAUAACGCGGUAUUUCAGGAAGUCAGGGUAAUUGAGUAGGGACACUCAGGGGCUUCGACAGUACUAUCAUUCUGUUCCUCAAGUUGGACGGCAGGUUCACAGGUGGUCAUUUCAUCAUGCCUUUAUGUUGUUUUAUGUUGUAUAUAUUAUACUAUAUGUUAUCCAUAUUAUAAUUACACAUAUUCUUUUGUUUGUAACAAUGUUUCAUAAUAUUUCAAGGAAUGAAUGGAAAUGGGCACAUAAUGAAGAUAUGCAGUGCCUAGCCAUCAGUAGAGUCCCAGCAUUAUCAGAUUCUAAGAUAAUUCUUAUACAAAAACAAGCAAACAAAGGGCAUGUUAUCUAGAAUGAAAAGACCAUCCAUAUUCUAAUAAACUGAGACAAUCAAAUAGGGAAUCCCUCUUUUAAGGAUGGUAUUUGUUAUAUGCUUGGAAGUGUUUUGAAGUAGAAAUUGGUUGUAAAUAAAUCUACUCCUUGUUAAUAGGAAAGUAUAAGCUUGCUUUUAAUGUCCCUGUUAUCCCUACCAAGAAAUUAAAAAUCCUGGAGGUUAGUAUUGCUUAUGAACUCACUUACUUGCUUAUUAAUGACAGGUGCAUUUGCCCUCUUAGGGGAUGACCAUGGGUAUUUUAAAAGAUAAGAAAUUUGCUGAGAAUUCCUUAAAUUUUUCUAAUUUUUACUAGCCAGUGAGGACAUUGUCCCUUUUUUGCAGGUAGCUUUGAAAGAUGAUACCUCCACAGUUGAGACCAUGUUGUUAAAACAUCCUUCAUUUAACCAUUUACACAUUUGGUUCUAAAGAAUGUAUUAUCCUUAGAUUCUUGGUUCUAAAGAAUGUAUUAUCUUAAGAUUCUUGUCUUACCACUAUUCUUAAAAUUUCUCUAAAACUUGCUGAGGUAAUCAGCUUUAAAUUCUAUAAAUACAGAUAACAAAACCCUCUUAAUCCUAAAGGUGCUUUUAAAGUUCAUGCAUUUAUACAUGUAUGCAAAUUGCCUAUUAAAUUGGGAAGAUUUCAUUCUAAGUAACCAAAUCUUAAGGAGCUAAAGCUAACCUGCUUUAUAAAAUAUAUUAAUUCCAGGACUAAGCAAUUUCUGAAAACAGACUUAUUUACUGUGCUGCUUAAUAUUUCCUCAAACUAGAAUACAAGUGACGGUGGCAGAGGGAGGAAGUAACUCAUACUAGGAAGAACAAAUAGCUGCUGGAAUAUGCUUGUGGUUUAGAGCUUCUUUUAAAAAUCCUGUCAGCUGCAAAGGAAAGGAAGGACUAAUAUUUUCCACGAGAUCAGUAACAUCUUUAUGAAGAUGCUCCUUUUGAAUGUGGUACAGAAAGUUGGAAAACACUUAGGCAUGGUAUCUGGCAUAGUGCCCCUUAGGGAGCACUUCACAUGCAGACGGUCUGGGGCUUAGGAUGGUUUGACUUAGAAUUUUUUGACUUUAUGAUAGUUGCAAAGGCGAUGCACAUUCAGUAGAAAGUGAACUUUGAGUCCCCAUAAAGCUAUCCUGUUUUUCAUGUUUAGGACAUUGUUCCCAUAAAUUCAUGAGCUAUUCAACCCUUUAUAAUAAAAAAGAAUUUGUGUUAGAUGAUUUUGCCCAAAUGUAGGUUAAUGUAAGUGUUCUGAGUACGUUUAAGGUAGGCUAGUCUAAGCUCUGAUGCUCAGUAGGUUAGGUGUAUUAAAGACGUUUUUACUUACGAUAUCUUCCCCUCCCAAUAAACCCAUUGUAAGUCAAGAAGCACCUGUAGAGGUCUGCCUUUACCAAUUUCAGCUGCGACAAAUUUAAUGUUCCUGUAUUGCUUUUAAAUUGGAGAGCAGAAGCAGGUCUGAAACAAAUACUGCAGUUAGCUUUGUGUUCUUCGCUAUUUAUUGAACAGUUCAGAGGGCAAGGAAGCAAAGAGAAGUGCUCUGAGUGUGUCUUUGCUUGCCAGCUCCUGAAUUUUUAACAGUUCUACAGUGGCCUUCCUGUAUUUUUCUCUCGUUUUGUGUGUUCUCUUCUGUUUUUGUUGACCCUGUCUC
This 2467-nucleotide long non-coding RNA is filed under the name Homo sapiens (human). RNAcentral's name for it is "long non-coding RNA NONHSAT165741.1". Lineage: Eukaryota; Metazoa; Chordata; Mammalia; Primates; Hominidae. The record is from RNAcentral.